CUUUCCCGCGCGACCGGCGAGGGAGGAAGAAGCGCGAAGAGCCGUUAGUCAUGCCGGUGUGGUGGCGGCGGCGGAGACUGCGGGCCCGUAGCUGGGCUCUGCGAGGUGCAAGAAAGCCUUUGAGGUGAAGGUGUAUGAAAGUCAUCAUAACAGAUGUUUUCCAAAAACUUGUAGAAGGUUGUGAAAAAACUACUAGGAUCACGCGGCAUGUAUUGAGGGUGAAUAUUCUUUGUUUUUAGCAUAUAGGUUGCUGUAGAUGAAUGUUCUUAGCUGUCAUGUUUAAAAAUACUUCUGCUUCGUUACCUCAAGUGUGGCAUGCAGCAUUUUGGAAGGAAAAUUGAAGACGUGUUCAAGAAAACAUGAACAGAAGCAAAUGAUGAAAAUGAGCAUUUUACUUGAUGUUGAUAACAUCACAAUAAAUUAUGGAGAAAAAUACAUAUUUGGCUAACUUUUAAUUGCUGAACAAUAAAGUGUUUUCUUUUAAAUCAACUC
This 492-nucleotide long non-coding RNA is filed under the name Homo sapiens (human). Its description in RNAcentral is "HSALNT0347517". The record is from RNAcentral. Lineage: Eukaryota; Metazoa; Chordata; Mammalia; Primates; Hominidae.